AAUGAUGAGAUUAUGUCCAGGAUGAGUUUUCUCUGAAAGGAAGCGCCUAAGGAUGAGUCGGCACCCGAUUAGGUUGUUGGUGGGGUAAUGUAUUACCGAAGGUGAUAUUUAAAAAACCUUGGUUUUUUAUAUGCCCACCAAGCCGAAGAUCGGUAGGGGCCUUGAGAGAGGUAGCCCCGAGGAGGACACUGAGAUAAGGGUCCUGACUCUACGGAGUAUAGCAAGUGCGAAAACUUUACAAUACACGAAAGUGUGAUAAGGGGAUUCUGAGUGCUUAUGCUUUGCAUAGGCUUUUGCCUAGAGUAAAGAUCUAGGAGAAUAAGUGGUGGGCAAGACUGGUGCCAGCAGCCGCGGUAACACCAGCGCCACAAGUGGGGACCAGUAUUAUUGGGCCUAAAGCGUUCGUAGCCGGUUAGAUAAAUCUCCUGUGAAAUUGUUGGGCUUAACCUAACAGCGUGCAGAAGACACUAUUUAACUUGAGACCGGGAGGAGUCAGAGGUAUUCAUGGGGUAGCGGUAAAAUGCAAUAAUCCUAUGAGGACCACCAGUGGCGAAGGCGUCUGACUAGAACGGGUCUGACGGUGAGGAACGAAAGCCAGGGGAGCGAACCGGAUUAGAUACCCGAGUAGUCCUGGCCGUAAACGCUGCGAG
RNAcentral lists this ribosomal RNA (650 nucleotides) under uncultured archaeon. RNAcentral's name for it is "bacterial SSU rRNA". It matches the Rfam family "Archaeal small subunit ribosomal RNA", at positions 154 to 766 of the family's 1478-position model. The record is from RNAcentral.